AGCAGCCCCCCUUUGGGUCCCUUCCCUUUGUAUGGGAGCUGUUUUCAUGCUAUUUCACUCUAUUAAAUCUUGCAACUGCACUCUUCUGGUCCAUGUUUCUUACGGCUCGAGCUGAGCUUUUGCUCACCGUCCACCACUGCUGUUUGCCACCACCGCAGACCUGCCGCUGACUCCCAUCCCUCUGGAUCCUGCAGGGUGUCCGCUGUGCUCCUGAUCCAGCGAGGCGCCCAUUGCCGCUCCCAAUUGGGCUAAAGGCUUGCCAUUGUUCCUGCACGGCUAAGUGCCUGGGUUUGUUCUAAUUGAGCUGAACACUAGUCACUGGGUUCCAUGGUUCUCUUCUGUGACCCACGGCUUCUAAUAGAACUAUAACACUUACCACAUGGCCCAAGAUUCCAUUCCUUGGAAUCCGUGAGGCCAAGAACUCCAGGUCAGAGAAUACGAGGCUUGCCACCAUCUUGGAAGCGGCCUGCUACCAUCUUGGAAGUGGUUCACCACCAUCUUGGGAGCUCUGUGAGCAAGGACCCCCCGGUAACAUUUUGGCAACCACGAACGGACAUCCAAAGUGAAUCGAAGCUGUAAAACUACAAAUGGAGCCCAAGAUGCAGUCCAAGACUAAGAUCUACCGCAGACCCCUGGACCGGCCUGCUAGCCCACGAUCUGAUGUUAAUGACAUCAAAGGCACCCCUCCUGAGGAAAUCUCAGCUGCACAACCUCUACUACGCCCCAAUUCAGCAGGAAGCAGUUAGAGCGGUCGUCGGCCAACCUCCCCAACAGCACUUAGGUUUUCCUGUUGAGAUGGGGGACUGAGAGACAGGACUAGCUGGAUUUCCUAGGCUGACUAAGAAUCCCUAAGCCUAGCUGGGAAGGUGACCACAUCCACCUUUAAACACGGGGCUUGCAACUUAGCUCACACCUGACCAAUCAGAGAGCUCACUAAAAUGCUAAUUAGGCAAAGACAGGAGGUAAAGAAAUAGCCAAUCAUCUAUUGCCUGAGAGCACAGCAGGAGGGACAAUGAUCGGGAUAUAAACCCAAGUCUUCGAGCCGGCAACGGCAACCCCCUUUGGGUCCCCUCCCUUUGUAUGGGAGCUCUGUUUUCAUGCUAUUUCACUCUAUUAAAUCUUGCAACUGCA
RNAcentral lists this long non-coding RNA (1131 nucleotides) under Homo sapiens (human). RNAcentral describes it as "non-protein coding lnc-ERVW-1-1:2". The record is from RNAcentral. Lineage: Eukaryota; Metazoa; Chordata; Mammalia; Primates; Hominidae.